This 521-nucleotide ribosomal RNA is filed under the name Fusarium tricinctum. RNAcentral describes it as "eukaryotic LSU rRNA". The stretch from base 138 to 291 matches the Rfam family "5.8S ribosomal RNA". The record is from RNAcentral. Lineage: Eukaryota; Fungi; Ascomycota; Sordariomycetes; Hypocreales; Nectriaceae.
CUCCCAACCCCUGUGACAUACCUUAAUGUUGCCUCGGCGGAUCAGCCCGCGCCCCGUAAAACGGGACGGCCCGCCAGAGGACCCAAACUCUAAUGUUUCUUAUUGUAACUUCUGAGUAAAACAAACAAAUAAAUCAAAACUUUCAACAACGGAUCUCUUGGUUCUGGCAUCGAUGAAGAACGCAGCAAAAUGCGAUAAGUAAUGUGAAUUGCAGAAUUCAGUGAAUCAUCGAAUCUUUGAACGCACAUUGCGCCCGCUGGUAUUCCGGCGGGCAUGCCUGUUCGAGCGUCAUUUCAACCCUCAAGCCCCCGGGUUUGGUGUUGGGGAUCGGCUCUGCCCUUCUGGGCGGUGCCGCCCCCGAAAUACAUUGGCGGUCUCGCUGCAGCCUCCAUUGCGUAGUAGCUAACACCUCGCAACUGGAACGCGGCGCGGCCAUGCCGUAAAACCCCAACUUCUGAAUGUUGACCUCGGAUCAGGUAGGAAUACCCGCUGAACUUAAGCAUAUCAUAAAGGCGGAGGAA